This 1393-nucleotide long non-coding RNA is filed under the name Vigna radiata. RNAcentral describes it as "long non-coding RNA (VRAD_LNC005371)". Lineage: Eukaryota; Viridiplantae; Streptophyta; Magnoliopsida; Fabales; Fabaceae. The record is from RNAcentral.
GGAUAAUUAUUUUGGAAGAAACACGAUGCAUUUAUUUUGCUGCAGAAACAUGCAUGUGAAAUAUAUGUCUUUCUUGAAUUUUGUGACAUUUAUUUUGGCUGGAAGAAGUGGAAUCCAUGGGAUACAUAUUUUGUUUCUUAUGGAGAAAGCAUUGAUUACUUACCUUGAAUGUUUACCUUUUCUUUUUAUUUUAUUAAAAGCAACGUUGAUUCAAUUGAUGCGCACAUGGUUUAUAGGUUUCCUUAAUCUUUUUCUUUAUUAACACUUUUUCACCAAGAAUGUUUUAUAUUUAAUUUAUUUUAGCUUAAUGUUAAUGCAUUUCUUUUAGUAUUUUUUUUAUAUAAAUGUGCAUUCCAUUUUAUUCCUACUGCAUUGGGCUUCAAGGGGUUACGUUUUGCAAUUCACUAGUGUUAGAUGAGUUUUCAGAUUUCUCUAGUUGCAUUUUAAUUUGUUCACACAUCUUGUUUAGGACUGUUUAAUUUACUGUUUUUGUUUGCUAUGUUGCCUGUCAUGUUUGGUUUAUUGUUUCCGUUUACUUUAAUGUUGUUUGGUCUGUUGGGUCGUGUUAAUUUAAUUGUCAUGUUAGUUUAAAUUAGUCGGGGUUGGUCGUUAAUAAAGUUACUUUGCUUCCCUGAGACUUUUGAACUUUAAUUGUCAUACUACUGCUUUGAUCCUGCUCAAUAUUUAAUCUAUUGUCUGCCUGCGAUUAGGUAUACGCUUAGUUGCCUAAUCGGUGUCAAUUCUUCGCUUAGUUGAUUAGACUGUACGGUGGAUGACUGAUUAAAUUUGUGCAUUGCAUUCGCUUAGUCUGUAAUUUUGAAGACCCAAUUAGCCUUCGCUUAGUUGGGUGAUUCGUGUCGGAUUUGGAUUAGAGUAGUGUCUACUUGUUGUUAAUCUGUGAUUGGAAGCAUAGUGAUUGAGUUAAUAACCGACCGUCUUCAUUCUAUCUUUGAACUAGUUUUUACGUUUGUGUUUGCAUCUCUGUUUGCAUCCGUGUCUUAAUUUAGUUCUUUUGCAUUCACAAAACCUUUCAAACCCCCCCACUUCGUCGAGACCUGAUUCCUGAACCACAGAUUGGUCCUUGAGAGACGACCUAGGAGUCACUUCCUAGUCUAUACUGCAUUUCUAAUAUGCAAUUAAAUUUGUGUGGGCCGCGACAGCCCAUCAAAUUUUGGCGCCGUUGCCGGGGACCAACGGUUCGGUUUUAGGUCUUUUGUUGUGUUAGUGUGUGUUGUCUUGUCUUGUGUUGUGAGUGUGAUGUUCUGUUUUGUGUGUUCGUCAUUUUGUGUUGCAUUUGGGUAGCUGUAGUUGCAUAUUUUCAUUGCAUUCUUCUUUUCCCCCUUCUUUCCCAUGUCUACCUAUUUUGGCUAUGUGAGUAAUUCUCAUUCUGCUU